RNAcentral lists this long non-coding RNA (739 nucleotides) under Phasianus colchicus (ring-necked pheasant). Its description in RNAcentral is "lncRNA (ENSPCLG00000010579.1)". The record is from RNAcentral. Lineage: Eukaryota; Metazoa; Chordata; Aves; Galliformes; Phasianidae.
CUGCUUCUAGAAUAAAUAAUCAAAUGAUGCAGACAGAUCCCCACAGAUACCUGCUGGGCUUACAGCAAAGAGAUGGCAUGGAGGUGCCUACAGCUGUUGGACUGUCACUCAAUCUAUACUACACCUCAUUGUGCCCAGGAGGGGUACAUCUAUGUCUCAGGCUGUGUGAGGAUGCCAAGACUCUUCACAGGACCAAGGCAUUGCUCCACUUCUACUGAGUCCUUGGGGGCAUGGCUCUCCACUAAAACAGAUGAAAUGCAGAGGUUUUCUUCUAUACGCCCACUCAUCCGGCAGGUUACCAAGCACCAGAAGAAAAAAAAAAAAAGCUGGGAAGAGAUUUCCUUGCAAGCUAGCACCACUGGGACCUACAGGACACAAAAAGGAAAAACUUGCUUCUCCUGAUACCUUCCCAUUCUUUUAUAUGGCUAGAGGAGGAGGGCAUUGGAAAGAUGCAUGUAAAACUGCUAUGGGACCGUUUGUGGCGUGGCAGCCAUUUUGCAGCAGAGCACAGCUUAGAUUUUGGUGGAAAAUGAGCGUUUGCCAGCAAAGCAGUGGCCAUCUCCCUGCUAAAAACCUCAGAGGCACCUCAAUGCUUAGGUUUUUGAUUCCGAAAACCAAGGCAAGCUCCCGGGGGCAAGAUAGGACUGUUAGAAGAGCUGGCAGGCCUGAGGUGCAGCCGUUGGAGUGCAUGUGUGAGGAACUGCGCAGGUGCGAUCGUUGCAUGCACUUAGCUGAGUAG